RNAcentral lists this ribosomal RNA (241 nucleotides) under uncultured Actinomycetales bacterium. Its description in RNAcentral is "partial 16S ribosomal RNA". It matches the Rfam family "Bacterial small subunit ribosomal RNA", at positions 89 to 334 of the family's 1533-position model. Lineage: Bacteria; Bacillati; Actinomycetota; Actinomycetes; Actinomycetales. The record is from RNAcentral.
ACUCGAGUGGCGAACGGGUGAGUAACACGUGGGUGAUCUGCCCUGCACUUCGGGAUAAGCCUGGGAAACUGGGUCUAAUACCGGAUAGGAGCCAUUUUUAGUGUGAUGGUUGGAAAGUUUUUUCGGUGUAGGAUGAGCUCGCGGCCUAUCAGCUUGUUGGUGGGGUAAUGGCCUACCAAGGCGGCGACGGGUAGCCGGCCUGAGAGGGUGGACGGCCACAUGGGACUGAGAUACGGCCCAG